AGUCAUGUACGUGGCGCUUCUCCCAAAGUGACCACGCAACUCGUGUUUAUGAUCGAAAAUCAACUAUUGCAAAGUGAGUGAAAUCGUCUGGAUUCGAUAUUGAAUUGGAAAGAUGAAUACUCGAAAAUUGAGAUCGUCGAAGAAACUGUUAUUCAAUCGACAAGAGCUGAUAUAUAUGCACAUGCAUAAACGAAGACACAAGAGUUCAACCUCUGAUAAAACUAAUGAACUCCGAUUAAAAAUUCACCUAUAAAUUACAAGAAAGAAGAAGUUAAAAAUUGAUAGUAAUAGUAAACUAGAGGGUCGGGAAAAGGGCGAAUAGGAAGUUGCAAAUUGUUCACUGGCCAACGGAAGCCAGGAACGGUUCCAGUGGGAGCUUUCAACGGGAUACAGUUUCAACAAGACAGGAGCUACGUCAGAAGGCUACAGAGGAUGACAGAAACCGACCGUCAGUCGAAUCAAUAGCUUCGACACGGUUAUCGAGUUCCCCGUCCAGCUAUUGGAGGUGUCUGGCUGAUCGUAAUACGUGUUAGAUCCGACAACGAUCGAUCGCGUUGUUUCGACGGUCCCCCACCACCCCCCUCAAUUGGCUUCGCGAUUCCAAAGCCUCGUCCAGGCUGCCAGGACGCGAUAGGAAUCGCGAGUCGAACAACAUUUCGCGCGAACCUUCGACCUCCUGUGGGUUGUCCCACAUUGGUCUUUUAUCAUUUUAAUAUUCCACUUUUGUCAAAAUAUUCUUUUAUCGAUCAAAUAAAAAAUACAUUUGUAAACUGCCACUUUUACGCGGAAUAUUUCCUGUCACGGUAUAAAGCUUGACAGC
Molecule: long non-coding RNA, 820 nt
Organism: Hylaeus volcanicus
Lineage: Eukaryota; Metazoa; Arthropoda; Insecta; Hymenoptera; Colletidae
Exons: 3
Source: RefSeq, a predicted model, not a curated record